This 497-nucleotide ribosomal RNA is filed under the name uncultured bacterium. RNAcentral's name for it is "partial 16S ribosomal RNA". It matches the Rfam family "Bacterial small subunit ribosomal RNA", at positions 28 to 507 of the family's 1533-position model. The record is from RNAcentral.
GAUGAACGCUGGCGGCGUGCCUAAUACAUGCGAGUCGAGCGAACAGACGAGGAGCUUGCUCCUCUGACGUUAGCGGCGGACGGGUGAGUAACACGUGGAUAACCUACCUAUAAGACUGGGAUAACUUCGGGAAACCGGAGCUAAUACCGGAUAAUAUAUUGAACCGCAUGGUUCAAUAGUGAAAGACGGGUUUGCUGUCACUUAUAGAUGGAUCCGCGCCGCAUUAGCUAGUUGGUAAGGUAACGGCUUACCAAGGCAACGAUGCGUAGCCGACCUGAGAGGGUGAUCGGCCACACUGGAACUGAGACACGGUCCAAACUCCUACGGGAGGCAGCAGUAGGGAAUCUUCCGCAAUGGGCGAAAGCCUGACGGAGCAACGCCGCGUGAGUGAUGAAGGUCUUCGGAUCGUAAAACUCUGUUAUUAGGGAAGAACAAAUGUGUAAGUAACUAUGCACGUCUUGACGGUACCUAAUCAGAAAGCCACGGCUAACUACGUG